Molecule: unclassified non-coding RNA, 432 nt
Filed under: soil metagenome
Description: partial contains 5.8S ribosomal RNA, internal transcribed spacer 2, and large subunit ribosomal RNA
Rfam family: 5.8S ribosomal RNA (bases 1-120)
Source: RNAcentral
GAUGAAGAACGCAGCGAAAUGCGAUACGUAAUGUGAAUUGCAGAAUUCAGUGAAUCAUCGAAUCUUUGAACGCAUAUUGCGCUCUCUGGUAUUCCGGAGAGCAUGCUUGUUUGAGUAUCAGUAAACACCUCAACUUCCAUAUCUUUUUUGAAAUGGGAGUUGGACUUGAGUGAUCCCAACGCUUUUCCUCACCGAAAAGUGGCGGGUUACUUGAAAUGCAGGUGCAGCUGGACUUUUCUCUGAGCUAUAAGCAUAUCUAUUUAGUCUGCCUAAAAAACAGAUUAUUACCUUUGCUGCAGCUAACAUAAAGGAGAUUAGUUCUUGUGCUGACUGAUGCAGGAUUCACAUAGACAGCUUCGGCCGACUUUGUAAACUCGAUCUCAAAUCAAGUAAGACUACCCGCUGAACUUAAGCAUAUCAAUAAGCGGAGGA